Molecule: long non-coding RNA, 321 nt
Organism: Stomoxys calcitrans (stable fly)
Lineage: Eukaryota; Metazoa; Arthropoda; Insecta; Diptera; Muscidae
Exons: 3
Source: RefSeq, a predicted model, not a curated record
UAACGGUGAAAAAUUCAGAAAGAAUUUUAAUUAUUUUGCUAACGAAAAUAUCAUUUAAUUUUCUAGCUAAAUUUUGAGAUUAUGUGAGUUAAAUUCUAUUUAGUUUUAGGCAUUCGUUGUGGUAAUACUCUAGCUAAUAAAAUUAAAACCACGAGCUACCUGGCUUUUGCAGCAAAUGAAUAUCAUUUUAGACAUUCAUGCGGAAAUCAAUUGGCUGGAGGAAAAAUGUGUCGCAGAAUACGGAUAAUAACUCAUCUUUAAAAUUAACAAAUGUUUUAUAGAUAAUUUAUUUAUAAAUGUGAAUAAAAAGUGAAGUACAAG